UACGGAGGGUGCGAGCGUUAAUCGGAAUUACUGGGCGUAAAGCGCACGUAGGCGGUCAGGCAAGUCGGGUGUGAAAGCCCUGGGCUCAACCUGGGAAUUGCAUUCGAAACUAUCUGACUCGAGUAUGGGAGAGGGAAGCGGAAUUUCCGGUGUAGCGGUGAAAUGCGUAGAUAUCGGAAGGAACACCAGUGGCGAAGGCGGCUUCCUGGACUAAUACUGACGCUGAGGUGCGAAAGCGUGGGGAGCAAACAGGG
This 254-nucleotide ribosomal RNA is filed under the name uncultured bacterium. RNAcentral's name for it is "partial 16S ribosomal RNA". It matches the Rfam family "Bacterial small subunit ribosomal RNA", at positions 524 to 777 of the family's 1533-position model. The record is from RNAcentral.